AAUAAGUGCGGUUUUGCACUAUUCAUGUCCAACGUUUGAUCGUUCGUCUUAUUUGAUUUUCUUUUAUGAUUAGUAUUUUUAUUGUUAUUAGAUGAUAAAACAUGAAUAUUACUUUAUGUGCGACUAAUUUUUUAAAAUUUCUUUAUAAUUUUUUUCAAAUAAGACGGACGGUCAAAUGUUGGACACGUAUUCCCACGAGUGCACUUAUU
MicroRNA precursor from Oryza sativa Japonica Group (Japanese rice), 209 nucleotides. It matches the Rfam family "MIR812 microRNA precursor family". Lineage: Eukaryota; Viridiplantae; Streptophyta; Magnoliopsida; Poales; Poaceae. The record is from Rfam.